Non-coding RNA from Pelobates cultripes (western spadefoot toad), 259 nucleotides. Lineage: Eukaryota; Metazoa; Chordata; Amphibia; Anura; Pelobatidae. The record is from the annotation of a GenBank genome assembly.
CACACAUUCUCAUCACACACAGCCAGCCCAAUGCUAAUACACAGUUUCCAUUACAUGUACACAGCUCAAUACCAUCACACACAAACUAUUCCUAUCACACACAAACAAUAUAAUACGUCACAUGCAGUCCCCAUUACAGCCAGACAGCCAAAGAUAUCACACACAAAAUGUAGUCAUUACACUAAGACAGCAAAACACGCAGUUCCCAUUACACCUUGACACCCAAAUACAUCAUAUGCAGUCCCCAGUAUACUCAGAC